Small nuclear RNA from Chanos chanos (milkfish), 157 nucleotides. RefSeq annotates it as U1 spliceosomal RNA. The transcript has a single exon. NCBI's taxonomy places the organism in Eukaryota, Metazoa, Chordata, Actinopteri, Gonorynchiformes, Chanidae. The record is from RefSeq and is a predicted model, not a curated record.
AUACUUACCUGGCAGGGGAGACACCAUGAUUACGAAGGUGGCUCACCCAGGGCGAGGCUUAGCCAUUGCACUUGGGUUGUGCUGAACUCUACAAAUUCUCUGAAUGCAGAAAUCUUGCCUGUAAUUUCAGUUAGAAGGGGACUGUUUUCGCCAUCUG